RNAcentral lists this ribosomal RNA (418 nucleotides) under uncultured bacterium. RNAcentral describes it as "bacterial SSU rRNA". It matches the Rfam family "Bacterial small subunit ribosomal RNA", at positions 125 to 518 of the family's 1533-position model. The record is from RNAcentral.
CCUGUCUUCAUGUCUGGAAUAAUACGCCGAAAGGGGGUACUAAUACCGGAUAUUCUUGCUUUUCAUAAGUUAUGCAAGCAAAGGUGGCCGUCUGCAGUAUGCUACUGCAUGAAGAGGGGUCUGCGUACCAUUAGCUAGUAGGUGGGGUAAUGGCCUACCUAGGCGACGAUGGUUAGCGGGGUCUGAGAGGAUGAUCCGCCACACUGGCACUGGAACACGGGCCAGACUCCUACGGGAGGCAGCAGUGAGGAAUAUUGCGGCAAUGGGGGAAACCCUGACGCAGCGACGCCGCGUGAGUGAGGAAGGCCUUCGGGUCGUAAAGCUCUGUCAAGAGGAAAGAAGUGUACAAUGGCUAAUACCUGUUGUAUUUGACGGUACCUCUAAAGGAAGCACCGGCUAACUCCGUGCCAGCCGCAGC